AACAAAUAUAAAUUAUUUAAAACUUUCAACAACGGAUCUCUUGGUUCCGGCAUCGAUGAAGAACGCAGCGAAAUGCGAUACGUAAUGUGAAUUGCAAAUUCAGUGAAUCAUCGAGUCUUUGAACGCACAUUGCGCCCCCUGGUAUUCCGGGGGGCA
This 156-nucleotide ribosomal RNA is filed under the name Penicillium carneum. Its description in RNAcentral is "5.8S ribosomal RNA". The stretch from base 21 to 156 matches the Rfam family "5.8S ribosomal RNA", at positions 1 to 137 of the family's 154-position model. From Rfam's summary of the family: 5.8S ribosomal RNA (5.8S rRNA) is a component of the large subunit of the eukaryotic ribosome. It is transcribed by RNA polymerase I as part of the 45S precursor that also contains 18S and 28S rRNA. The record is from RNAcentral. Lineage: Eukaryota; Fungi; Ascomycota; Eurotiomycetes; Eurotiales; Aspergillaceae.